CCAAUCGUCUGCGACCGCCAACUCGUUCGCACAUGUAGGCUUUAGUCUUCUGCACCGUGUUUCUUCACCCGAGCCGUCCGUGCCAUCUCUCUACACAUGAGUUCCUCGCAUCGACUACCUUCUUAGCCGAGUCGUGAGCCCCUUCCUUGGUUCCUUAACCAUCUUUGCUUUGGAGCCAUAUUUGGAGAGGCUUUUUGGUCUAGCUAAUUUUAUUGGAGGACUUCAUCCAUCAAUUUUCUUAUUCAAGGUGUUUGGUUACAACCUUGGCCUUUGGGUACGUUGAAGACUUAAGUUUUGGUCUUUGGGUACGUUGAAGACUUAAGUUAAAUUUAGAUGAUGGUUGACAAGUUUAUUAAUCUAAGUUUCGUUAUGAUUAGGAUUCGUCUAUUUGGAGAACUUUUGGAUGUUGUUGAUAAGAUUAAUUUUUUUUUUUUGCAAAUCUUAAGGUAAGAGAUUCGACUAUUAGAUCCUCCCAUCAUGUUUUCCCUUGGUAUGCAUUAGCGUAGCUAUAAUGUAUGUGAUGUAACUAAUGUGAUUGCUAAGGAUGUAAGAUAACGAUAGCUACAUAGAAAAUCGUUGUGAUAUGAAUGAGAUGUACCCUGAUUGGGACAUGCUAUGAGUUAUGUUUA
Molecule: long non-coding RNA, 629 nt
Organism: Cucumis sativus (cucumber)
Lineage: Eukaryota; Viridiplantae; Streptophyta; Magnoliopsida; Cucurbitales; Cucurbitaceae
Exons: 2
Source: RefSeq, a predicted model, not a curated record